GAAGAGCCUGACCCAUGGGCACUCAGCAACUAUUAUUGAGUCAACCAGCUGCAAAGGCUCAAGGGAAGGGGUUUGCAUUUGCCCUUCUCAUUCCUCUCAGAAACUCAAGCACCUGCUACCUCGUUGUAAAAGGGAAGAAAAAGACUGAGCUACGCAAGAUACGUAGGCAGAAGAUACUUAAAAAGGGGUUAUAACUCCCAUGCGUUCAUUUCUUAGACACUGGAACCACACAGGGACUAAAACAGGAGACCCAGGAGUGGCUACAGGAUGGGAAAGAAGCAGAUGGAAGAUGCAGGACUUCCUACAUCUUUGUGAUUCUACAAGAAAGUGUGUUUACAGGAGCUGGAUAAAUGUAGCAGGCUUUGGCCACAGGGGCACUUGGAUCUGUACCCCACAUGGCUAACAGAGCCAAAGCCCUGUCACAGCACUGUCGUGGUUGCAGCCAUGAGGCCAGAUCACAGCCAGCCCAAGGCAGUGUUGAGGAUGAGGAGAAGGUGGAAUCUGGCACCCCUUGGCGGGGCAGCUGCAGGUGGCCGUCGUAGUGAAUCAAACCCAGCAGGCACCACUCAACAAAACUACCUUCACCUCCCAGAUAGCCACAGCUCACUGGGCCACCGUCAUGCUUCAGCAUCACCUCAGCAAACAAGCCAGUUCUCACUCCAGUUUUUAACAUUUUAAGAAUGUGAAACUAGAGCAAAUUUCAAAUAACAAGGCAUAGUUGUGGUUUUCCUCACAGGGAUGUUUCUACUCCUCCUAUUGGCACCUGCUUUAAACAUUAAGUGGAACAUGUGAUCUCAAAACCACUGAACGACUUUGAUGUUCGGGAUGAAAAAGAAAAGAGUGAAGAUGAUGACUGUGAAAAUUCCUGCUCAUUGAUGCUACCAGCUGGGACUGGUGGAUGGAGAGUUAAUCAAAACAACUACGUAAAUCUACAGGUUCUCAUCCUUCCUCUGCAAAAGGUUGUCUAUGCACCAGAACAAGCCAUCUCUCUAGUCUUUAUUUAGUGUUUUGUGUGACAAAAACUUACAUGCAAUGCUGCCCACCAGGAAGUAAGUUUCAGAGAUGUGCCAACUCCAGGUGAAAGCUUCAAACGGCAUCUCAUGUAAUAUUGUGUCUGCAAUUGGAGGGUUCUCGGUCUCACCGACUUCAAGAAUGAAGACGCGGACCCUCGCGGUGAGCGUUACAGUUCUUAAAGGCAGCGCGUCCGGAGUUUGUUCCUUCUGAUGUUCGCAUGUGUUCGGAGUUUCUUCCUUCUGGUGGGUUCGUGGUCUCGCUGGCUUAGGAGUGAAGCUGCAGACCUUCGCAGUGAGUGUUACAGCUCUUAAGGCAGCGCGUCUGGAGUUGUUCCUUCCUCCCCGUGGGUUCAUGGUCUUGCUGGCUUCAGGAGUGAAGCUGCAGACCUUUGCAGUGAGUGUUACAGCUCAUAAAGGCAGUGUGGACCUAAAGAGUGAGCAGCAGCAAGAUUUAUUGCAAAGAGCGAAAGAACAAAGCUUCCACAGUGUGGAAGGGGACCCGAACGGGUUGCCACUGGUGGCUCGGGAAGCCUGCUUUUCUCUUAUCUGGCCCCACCUACAUCCUGCUGAUUGGUCCAUUUUACAGAGAGCCCAGCGGUCUGUUUUGACAGGGGGCUGAUUGGUGCAUUUACAAUCCCUGAGCUAGACAAAAAGGUUCUCCACGUCCCCACUGGAGUAGCUAGAUACAGAGUGUGGAUUGGUGCAUUCACAAACCCUGAGCUAGACACAGGGUGCCGAUUGGUGUGUUUACAAACCUUGAGCUAGAUACAGAGUGCUGAUUGGUGUAUUUACAAUCCCCUAGCUUGACAUAAAGGUUCUCCAAGUCCCCCACCAGAGUCAGGAGCCCAACUGGCUUCACCCAGUAGAGCCCCCACCGGGGCCGCAGGUGGAGCCGCCUGCCAGUCCCACGCCGUGCGCCCGCACUCCUCAGCCCUUGCGUGGUUGAUGGGACUGGGCGCCGUGGAGCAGAGGGCAGCACUCGUUGGGGAGGCUCAGGCAGCACAGGAGCCCACGGAGUGGGGGAGGCUCAGGCAGCACAGGAGCCCACGGAGUGGGGGAGGCUCAGGCAUGGCAGGCUGAAGGUCCCAAGCCCUGCCCCACGGGGAGGGAGCUAAGGCCUGGCAAGAAAUCGAGUGCAGCGCCAGUGGGCCGGCACUGCUGGGGGACCCAGUACACCGUCCGCAGCCGCUGGCCCGGGUGCUAAGCCCCUCAUUGCCUGGGGCCGGCAGGGCCGCCCGGCUGCUCCGAGUGCGGGGCCCGCCAAGCCCACGCCCACCCGGAACUCCAGCUGGCCAGCAACUGUCGCGCACAGCCCCAGUUCCCGCUCGCGCCUCUCCCUCCACACCUCCCUGCAAGCUGAGGGAGCCAGCUCUGGCCUCCGCCAGCCCAGAAAGGGGCUCCCACAGUGCAGUGGUGGGCUGAAGGGCUCCUCAAGUGCCACCAAAGUGGGAGCCCAGGCAGACGAGGCGCCGAGAGCGAGCGAGGGCUGCGAGGGCUGCCAGCACGCUGUCACCUCUCAGUAUGAUAAUAAAAGAUGUUACUGAAUUAAUGGUUUAUCUUAAACAUUGAUUUGUAUACUUAAGAAUUAGUG
Molecule: long non-coding RNA, 2604 nt
Filed under: Homo sapiens (human)
Lineage: Eukaryota; Metazoa; Chordata; Mammalia; Primates; Hominidae
Description: HSALNT0018186
Source: RNAcentral